CUGAACUCCACCCACUGGUCUGUGGAGUUCAGUGUAACAGAUGUACUUGUGUCAGACUGGAAAAAGACUUUCAUUAAACACGACAGGAGACACCACGAUGAAUAUUCAAAAGAGCAGCAGAGAUUGUAAUCGAGCAGCAGCUCCACAGGAGCUGAGGAUCCUAGGAAGCUGCUGAGACAGGCUCCCACACACAAAGUUUGGCUGAGAUGGAAAAAAAACUUCAGGAGGCAAAGACUGUGAUUAUACAUCAAGAGGAGGAACUGAAUUCAGUCAAAGAGAGUUUGACAGAGAUGGAAGCAUUUUACAAAGUGAGCCUGAAAAAAGCAGGUUUGGCCGCGAUGGAAGGGUUUUACAAAGAGAAACUCCAAGAAGAAAGAUCUGCACAUAAAGAAACUGAAGAAGAAUUGAGAUCAUUCAAAGACAGAGUGGCAGAAGAGGUUGAUCUUUCACUAAAGACGGGGAACUCUGAAAACAUGAACAACCCAGUGAAUGAAACCAGACUGAAAGAGAUGUAUGAAGAGCUGAGGAAGGACUGGACUAAAAACAAGUCUUUUCUGCAGACAGCUUACAGAAACACAGAGACAAUCAAAGCCUGGAUUCAGCGCAGCUUUCUAUGUGGGGAAGGGGAUAUGGAGCAGAAGAAGAAACUGAUAGAGUUAGCAUUUAACCUAAAUGCGGACCACACUCGAGUAUCUCAGAAGGUUCAUGAAUACACAAAGCUAACCCUUCAGAACCUUCAGCUUGCUGUUUACUACAGUUUUAAAAACACUACUGCUCAGGGGUUCCACGGACAGGAAGGUGAAACUCAUGACAACAGCAUGAAUAAUUUCCUCACGAAGUGCCGCUGGCUGAGCAGCUUAUUGGCUUUGAACAAUCCACCGCUUCAGCCUGACUGGAUAAAUCAUCAUCCCGGGCAAGAUGCUUGGAACAUUUUCCCACAAGAAAUCAGAGCUGAUUCUGCCAUAUCACUCUGCCAGGGCCACUCUGCAAAUGUCCUUAAAUGUUCUUCGCCAUCCCAGGACCCAGACAUGAACAAGACUGAAGAUUCCUAGAAAGAUCUUCGUAGAACAUGUCUUCUAUCCUGUCUUCCUUCUCUCACCCCAACCACUCGCAGUAGAUGGCCGCCCCUCCCUGAGCCUGGUUCUGCUGGAGGUUUCUUCCAUUUAAAAGGGAUUUUUCCCUUCCCACUGUUGCCAAAGUGCUUGCUAAUAUGGGGUCAUAUGAUUGUUGGUUGUUUUCUCUGUAUGUAUUAUUGUAGGGUCUACCUUACAAUAAAAUCAAGAUCAACAGAGCCUCGAGGCGACAGUUGUUGUGAUUUAACGCUGUAUAAAUAAAACUGAAUGUAACAUAAACACCUGUCCCCCUCUGCUGACAUGGCCCCAUGAGCUCCCUGCACCACCUCUCCACUGCAGCAGGCCGGUGACCACACCCCUGCCACAAUUUCAAAAAAUGUUUUCCCUUAACUGACAGUAAUGUGUUUGAAAGUACUGCUCUGGCAGUGUUACGGGGAGAGAGAGAAAAAAAAGAUCUUGAGCUGUUUAUUAUUUAACUUGAUUUCUGUUAAUACUUUUGACUUUUGUAAUUUAUUCUGAUAAUUUAAUCAUCAAAAAUGAUUUACAUCUGACAGUCCAUGCUGCAUGUUUUAUUGCCUUGGCUUAUACAGAACUAACAUGUUUGACUUGUGGUAAAAAGACAAUUCUUCCCUGUGUGUUUUAAAACUUGGGAUAUCCUUUAAGGAAAAUAUAGGAAAAUCAAGGAAAACACGCAUUCCUUCUUUGUUUUUGCAUCAUAGUCGUGGUAGCCUCAGUAGGUCACUGUUGUGUAUGUAUGUGAUUUGACUUUAGAAAAAACUGAAUAGAAAGAGUAGAAGAUGC
Oreochromis aureus is the source of this 1874-nucleotide long non-coding RNA. Lineage: Eukaryota; Metazoa; Chordata; Actinopteri; Cichliformes; Cichlidae. The record is from Ensembl.